AUUGAACGCUGGCGGCAUGCCUUACACAUGCAAGUCGAACGGCAGCGGGCCUUCGGGUGCCGGCGAGUGGCGAACGGGUGAGUAAUGCAUCGGAACGUGCCAUUGAGUGGGGGAUAACGUAGCGAAAGUUACGCUAAUACCGCAUAUUCUGUGAGCAGGAAAGCAGGGGGACCGCAAGGGCCUUGCGCUCUUUGAGCGGCCGAUGUCAGAUUAGCUAGUUGGUGAGGUAAAGGCUUACCAAGGCGACGAUCUGUAGCGGGUCUGAGAGGAUGAUCCGCCACACUGGAACUGAGACACGGUCCAGACUCCUACGGGAGGCAGCAGUGGGAAUUUUGGACAAUGGGCGCAAGGCCUGAUCCAGCCAUGCCGCGUGAGUGAAGAA
This 382-nucleotide ribosomal RNA is filed under the name uncultured bacterium. RNAcentral's name for it is "bacterial SSU rRNA". It matches the Rfam family "Bacterial small subunit ribosomal RNA", at positions 30 to 412 of the family's 1533-position model. The record is from RNAcentral.